ACAGAGGUCCCAAGCGUUGUUCGGAUUCACUGGGCGUAAAGGGUGCGUAGGUGGUGAGGUAAGUCGGAUGUGAAAGCCCCGGGCUCAACCUGGGAACUGCAUUGGAGACUGCGUGGCUAGAGUGUGGCAGAGGGGGGUGGAAUUCCACGUGUAGCAGUGAAAUGCGUAGAGAUGUGGAGGAACACCGAUGGCGAAGGCAGCCCCCUGGGCUAACACUGACGCUCAUGCACGAAAGCGUUGGGAGCAAACAGGA
RNAcentral lists this ribosomal RNA (253 nucleotides) under uncultured prokaryote. Its description in RNAcentral is "partial 16S ribosomal RNA". It matches the Rfam family "Bacterial small subunit ribosomal RNA", at positions 525 to 777 of the family's 1533-position model. The record is from RNAcentral.